Molecule: RNA transcript, 2031 nt
Organism: Camellia sinensis
Lineage: Eukaryota; Viridiplantae; Streptophyta; Magnoliopsida; Ericales; Theaceae
Source: RefSeq, a predicted model, not a curated record
CGCGAGCAAAAAUCGAGUACUACUCAGACACAAUAUCAACCACUCUCUCUCCACCACAAAAUCUAACCCCCCUUCUCUCUCCUCGAUCGCCGGGUGUUCGCCGCCGGUAUUGAUUUCAACACCGCAAACGAAAGGCCGGUGCAAAUUUUCCUCCAUUAUCGAAGGCAAUGUGGGUUUUGUCGUUCGCUUGCGUGGGUUAAGCUCGCUCGGGGUUUUCGUCAUUGGUACUUUCGAACACUCUUGUUCUGAAAGGUGUUGUAUUUCGCUGCAAUCACACUCAUUGAACUCGAAACUGCAAAAUGUCUUUCCGGAACAAGGGAUUUUGGAUGGGAAAGGGUGGGGGACAUUUAAAUGUUGGGGAUACAACAUAUGAUGACCCAUCAAGGAUUGAACCAAAGCGUUCUCAUCAUUGGUUUGCUGAUGGUUCUGAACCAGAGCUAUUCCCCAACAAGAAGCAAGCAGUACAAGCUGCAAAUAGCAAAUCAACCACAGGAAUUUUACAUGCAAAUGCUUCUCGUUGGGAGAGUGCUGCCAGUUUUCCAUCAGUCCCAAGUCAAUUCAUGGACCGGUUAUUUGGAGGUGAGACAAACAUUCCAGAGCAAAACAUUUUCCUUGUUGGUACAGAUGACUCAAAUAUGAGGAAAAAGGGUAUCAAUGAGCAGUAUGGAAAUGAGUCAUCUGUGGGUUUGUCUAUGUUUCAUAAUAUGGAUGACCCAGAAACAUGUCUUAGCUAUGGUGGAAUUAGAAAAGUUAAAGUCAAUCAGGUUAAGGACUUUGACAACAGUUUGCAUGCACCAAAGGAACAUAAUAGUGCCAUGUCCAUAGGUCAGGCCUAUAACCCGAGAAAUGAAACCAGUUUCAUAUCAAUGGGGCAGGGCUACAGUAAGGAGGAUGAAAGUGUGAUGUUAAUGGGUCAGACCUACAACAAAGGCAAUUCCAACAUCAAAUCCAUGAGCUCUGCCUUUGAAAAGGCGGAUGACAAUAGCAUAUCAAUCAGUCACUUCUAUAAUAAGGGAGACACUAAUACUAUAGCUUUUGGUGGCUUUCAUGAGGAACCUGAUAUUGACACACUGGCUCAGCCCUUGAACAGCUGUGAGCCCUUGAACAGCUAUGAGUUGUUAAAUGAUCAAUCUUCUGUUCAAGCAUCAGAAACACUUGACAAUAACUCAGACAUUGGUGCAAGUGCAGUUGCAUGUGUCUCUCAGGUAGCUAAAUCUAAACCCCAGUCUGUGUCUAAGAAUAAGUCAGAGGUUAAAGUGGGUAGGAAUGUGGCUCCAAACAGUUUCCCUUCAAAUGUUAGAAGCUUGAUAUCAACUGGUAUGCUUGAUGGAGUGCCUGUGAAGUAUGUUUGUUUGUCACGGGAGGAGCUCCGUGGAAUUAUAAAAGGUUCAGGCUAUCUUUGUGGAUGUCAAGCAUGCAAUUUCAACAAGGUGCUAAAUGGUUAUGAGUUUGAGCGUCAUGCUGGUUGCAAAACAAAACACCCAAACAAUCACAUAUACUUUGAAAGUGGGAAGACUAUUUACCAGAUAGUCCAAGAGUUGAAGAACACCCCUGAGAGUCAGUUGUUUGAUGCUGUUCAGACUGUAACUGGGUCACCAAUUAAUCAGAAGUCCUUCCGUAUUUGGAAAGAUUCAUUUCAAGCAGCAAGUCGUGAGCUUCAACGCAUAUAUGGAAAGGAUGAACUGAAUCUGUAGUUUUAAAACCGAUGAUGAGCUUCUUGUGGAAAUGUAAGAUAGGAAGUCCUUUAAUGGAAUUUGCCUUGGUGCAUCGGAAAAGACGCUUUGUUAAUUGCUCAACUUGGUUGGAUGUUUUAUAUGUUUCAACAAGUCUGGGAAUCCACUUAUCUACAAGAUUUUUCCGGAUGGAUGGUUGGUUGUGUGAUAAAAAUUAUAUUUAUAUAACAUGAAAUUUAUACGUAGAAUAAAUCUGAAUUAUUAUAGAAUAAUUAUGCAUAAUUUUUAGGUAGUUAAGUUUGAAUUUAUAUUAUUAUUGUAUAUAUUUUACAACAAUCAUACCAUCAUUGGGUCCUCA